GACGAACGCUGGCGGCGUGCCUAAUACAUGCAAGUAGAACGCUGAAGGAGGAGCUUGCUUCUCUGGAUGAGUUGCGAACGGGUGAGUAACGCGUAGGUAACCUGCCCGGUAGCGGGGGAUAACUAUUGGAAACGAUAGCUAAUACCGCAUAAGAGUAGAUGUUGCAUGACAUUUGCUUAAAAGGUGCAAUUGCAUCACUACCAGAUGGACCUGCGUUGUAUUAGCUAGUUGGUGGGGUAACGGCUCACCAAGGCGACGAUACAUAGCCGACCUGAGAGGGUGAUCGGCCACACUGGGACUGAGACACGGCCCAGACUCCUACGGGAGGCAGCAGUAGGGAAUCUUCGGCAAUGGACGGAAGUCUGACCGAGCAACGCCGCGUGAGUGAAGAAGGGUUUCGGAUCGUAAAGCUCUGUUGUAAGAGAAGAACGAGUGUGAGAGUGGAAAGUUCACACUGUGACGGUAUCUUACCAGAAAGGGACGGCUAACUACGUG
Molecule: ribosomal RNA, 495 nt
Filed under: uncultured bacterium
Lineage: Bacteria
Description: partial 16S ribosomal RNA
Rfam family: Bacterial small subunit ribosomal RNA
Source: RNAcentral